This 473-nucleotide ribosomal RNA is filed under the name uncultured bacterium. Its description in RNAcentral is "SSU rRNA". It matches the Rfam family "Bacterial small subunit ribosomal RNA", at positions 26 to 518 of the family's 1533-position model. The record is from RNAcentral.
AGGACGAACGCUGGCGGCGUGCUUAACACAUGCAAGUCGAGCGGAAAGGCCCUUCGGGGUACUCGAGCGGCGAACGGGUGAGUAACACGUGAGCAACCUGCCCUUAGCUCUGGGAUAGCUCCGGGAAACCGGAAUUAAUACCGGAUAUGACCUAGGCCGACAUCGGCCGUGGUGGAAAGUUUUUCGGCUAGGGAUGGACUCGCGGCCUAUCAGCUAGUUGGUGGGGUAAUGGCCUACCAAGGCGACGACGGGUAGCCGGCCUGAGAGGGCGACCGGCCACACUGGGACUGAGACACGGCCCAGACUCCUACGGGAGGCAGCAGUGGGGAAUAUUGCGCAAUGGGCGAAAGCCUGACGCAGCGACGCCGCGUGAGGGAUGAAGGCCUUCGGGUUGUAAACCUCUUUCAGCUCCGACGAAGCGAAAGUGACGGUAGGGCAGAAGAAGCACCGGCCAACUACGCGCCAGCAGCCGC